CAGAUUUGUGUGAGAGAUUGUAGCCCAGAAACUUGAAUGGUACAAUUUACAUAAAAAUUGUCAAAAAAGACUAAAUUCUGAAACAAAACUACAUAACUUCUCAGUAUUGAGUAUUCAUUAUACCUUUAUGAAAGAAGUUGUUUUUGCUUUUAGUUUUAGACUAUAAAUUACUACUAAAACCUGAUACAUUAACUCAGGAAAUUAGAUUAACCAGCAAUUGCUGAAAAGGAAAUAAAUUGAAAUAAUAAACCGAAUACAGUAUCUAGGAAAGGAAAUAAAUUGAUAUAAUAAACCGGAUACAGUAACUAGGAAAUUAGAUUUCAUAUCAUAACCUUUAACAUUGAGUUUAAUUUACGAAUAUAUUAAAAUCAACCAAACUUGAGACACAAACUCAUUCCAAAAUUGGACUUGAGCACAAGGUUCAUAGAGCAAUGCAAAACCAAAUAAUAAGUUGGUCACACAAAUAAAAUAGCAAUUGAGUCAGAGCACAUUUAAGUAAACAGGUUAAUUAAACACUUGCUUAAUAAGUUUUGUUAACCUGGUUCAAGAUAUAUGGUAAGGAUGCUACUAAGGCUUUGUUAUUCAAGUAGAAGUGUGGAACCAUAGAUACUUCUUUAUUAGAUAAGGCAUAGUGACACAGACCUAAACAUAGAAGCCCACAAAUACCAUGCUUAUUAUCUUAGACAAUUCACAAUGAAAAGGUUCAAGUGGCAUAAAAGCACACACUAACUUUUACCAACGAGGAAAACCUGCAUAGAAUAAAUGGCAAUUGAUGCCUUACUUUCUCAUGGAGAGUGUUAUAAAAACUUUCUCAUGAAGAGUGUUAUAAAGUAACUAAUACACGUGAACGAAUACCUUCACUACCUAAUAGUCUAACAAACAACACUAGCAUCAAAACAUAACAUAAAUGGCACAUUGCAAUCAUUUAAGUUGUUUCGCAAUAGAAGAACGUUACCUGCAGCAAUGCAAUAUAUAAACAACAACCGACAAUAUACACAAACUGAGCAAGAUGAUUAAUAUCUCAAAUAUGAUCUCAUUAUAAAAAAUAGAGAGACACAACUUAUGAGGAUUGUUGCAGCUUCUCUUCUACAAGUUCAACGCAACUAUGUACAUAAACUUGAGAGGGUUCUAUACAAGAAGACAUAUAAACAAUUAAAAAUCUAUGUAUAGUUAUCAUAUCACAUUCUUUUCACAUGAUGUUAAUGUCAUUUAGAAUUAUCCUGACAUUCUUCAUGCUAAAUGGCAAAUAUAUUACCAACAAUUCCAAAUUCAGAAGACAUCCAAUGUCGUUGAACCUUGUGUAAACCAUAAAUAAAUAAUGGACUUAAAAACUCACAAGUUAGGGAUUUGUAUAUAUUGUGGAAAUCAAUAGAAAACUAACAAAUACAAUUAGAGAUUUACGAUUAAUGAAUGUAGUAGAUGAAUCAAGAAACUAAGGAUUUCUUACCAAAAUUGGAGUGAAUUGAACCUCAAAAUAAGCUUCAAUUUGAGUUGGUACUGACAACCACAUUGAGCAAGAAGAUGGUGAAUGAUGUGAAGAAAACAUAGAGUGAGGCCGAUUCAAAUAAGGAGAGGAUUUAUAAAUCCUGAGAAGAAGAUAGCAUUGAACGAUGAAGGAUCGUUAUUGAACAACCAGAUAUAAGAACGUUGAGGCGGAGCUCACGAUGAUGGAAAAACUACACGGUGGCAAAGAGAAAAAGACGUUGAUGGUGGAAGAAGCGUGUGAGAGAGCGAGCAGUGAAAUGAGAGAGAG
Molecule: long non-coding RNA, 1753 nt
Filed under: Lupinus angustifolius (narrow-leaved blue lupine)
Lineage: Eukaryota; Viridiplantae; Streptophyta; Magnoliopsida; Fabales; Fabaceae
Description: long non-coding RNA (LANG_LNC000848)
Source: RNAcentral